Molecule: transfer RNA, 92 nt
Organism: Pleurotus ostreatus PC15
Lineage: Eukaryota; Fungi; Basidiomycota; Agaricomycetes; Agaricales; Pleurotaceae
Rfam family: tRNA
About the family: Transfer RNA (tRNA) molecules are approximately 80 nucleotides in length. Their secondary structure includes four short double-helical elements and three loops (D, anti-codon, and T loops).
Source: Rfam
GGCAACAUGGCCGAGUGGUCUAAGGCGCUGGAAUUAGGCAAUCACAGCUUAUCCAGUCCGAAAGGGCGUGAGUUCGAACCUCACUGUUGUCA